UACAACGAUCAACCACUGCAGUAAUGACUCGAUCAGUUUUUGUGUAUUGUACGAAAACCGAACCUUUUCCGCUAAUGUCGAAACCUUUUUGUCAUAGACUGUACAUUGGGAGAAUUUUCAUGGGCUUCAUGUAUCUGAUCCAUUUUUCCUUUCAAGACACCAUACUGUCCACCCCCAUGUUGUUUCUGUGCAUUCCCUACUUCCUUGAAUGUUUUUACCCAGUGUAGAAGGAUAUCCUAUUUUGGGGGACUCUUCCUGUACACAUCUGAAGUUUCUUUGUAUGGCUAUGACCUCAGCAAACCACAAUACACUCUGUACCUUCUCUUGCAAUGUUGUCAUUUUUUGACAAAAUCAACUACAAUGUCACUGCUGGACUCAAGAUACAAUCCUUAAAAUUCUGUCUGAAUUUCGAUCAUAUACUGAACCUUAUAGCACUGAGCAUUUUCCAAUAUGCAUAAUAGAUGAUUUUUAGCACACAGUUGAAAUCUACCUGUUUCAAACAGGACAUCCUGUAUUAUAAAUAAUUAUUAAAUGAAAAGCAUUCAGAAUGCUUUUCAUUUAAUGCCCAUUUAUAGAGAGCAGAGUUUAUUAUAUAUUAUAAUUCAGCAAUAUAGUUUUAGUUCUAAUAUUUAUAAAGUUGCCAAUGUGAAAUUUAAAAAAAAAAAAUACUACAAGUGCUCCUCAAUUUGUGAAUAUGUGUAUUUAAGAACAUGCUAUUUUAUUUUUAAUUUACAAAAAAUAUCAAAAA
Molecule: long non-coding RNA, 748 nt
Filed under: Androctonus crassicauda
Lineage: Eukaryota; Metazoa; Arthropoda; Arachnida; Scorpiones; Buthidae
Source: RNAcentral